UGAGAAUGCCGGUGUGAGUAGCGAAAGACGGGUGAGAAUCCCGUCCACCGAUUGACUAAGGUUUCCAGAGGAAGGCUCGUCCGCUCUGGGUUAGUCGGGUCCUAAGCUGAGGCCGACAGGCGUAGGCGAUGGAUAACAGGUUGAUAUUCCUGUACCACCUAUAAUCGUUUUAAUCGAUGGGGGGACGCAGUAGGAUAGGCGAAGCGUGCGAUUGGAUUGCACGUCUAAGCAGUAAGGCUGAGUAUUAGGCAAAUCCGGUACUCGUUAAGGCUGAGCUGUGAUGGGGAGAAGACAUUGUGUCUUCGAGUCGUUGAUUUCACACUGCCGAGAAAAGCCUCUAGAUAGAAAAUAGGUGCCCGUACCGCAAACCGACACAGGUAGUCAAGAUGAGAAUUCUAAGGUGAGCGAGCGAACUCUCGUUAAGGAACUCGGCAAAAUGACCCCGUAACUUCGGGAGAAGGGGUGCUCUUUAGGGUUAACGCCCAGAAGAGCCGCAGUGAAUAGGCCCAAGCGACUGUUUAUCAAAAACACAGGUCUCUGCUAAACCGUAAGGUGAUGUAUAGGGGCUGACGCCUGCCCGGUGCUGGAAGGUUAAGAGGAGUGGUUAGCUUCUGCGAAGCUACGAAUCGAAGCCCCAGUAAACGGCGGCCGUAACUAUAACGGUCCUAAGGUAGCGAAAUUCCUUGUCGGGUAAGUUCCGACCCGCACGAAAGGCGUAACGAUUUGGGCACUGUCUCAACGAGAGACUCGGUGAAAUCAUAGUACCUGUGAAGAUGCAGGUUACCCGCGACAGGACGGAAAGACCCCGUGGAGCUUUACUGUAGCCUGAUAUUGAAAUUCGGCACAGCUUGUACAGGAUAGGUAGGAGCCUUUGAAACGUGAGCGCUAGCUUACGUGGAGGCGCUGGUGGGAUACUACCCUAGCUGUGUUGGCUUUCUAACCCGCACCACUUAUCGUGGUGGGAGACAGUGUCAGGCGGGCAGUUUGACUGGGGCGGUCGCCUCCUAAAAGGUAACGGAGGCGCUCAAAGGUUCCCUCAGAAUGGUUGGAAAUCAUUCAUAGAGUGUAAAGGCAUAAGGGAGCUUGACUGCGAGACCUACAAGUCGAGCAGGGUCGAAAGACGGACUUAGUGAUCCGGUGGUUCCGCAUGGAAGGGCCAUCGCUCAACGGAUAAAAGCUACCCCGGGGAUAACAGGCUUAUCUCCCCCAAGAGUUCACAUCGACGGGGAGGUUUGGCACCUCGAUGUCGGCUCAUCGCAUCCUGGGGCUGUAGUCGGUCCCAAGGGUUGGGCUGUUCGCCCAUUAAAGCGGUACGCGAGCUGGGUUCAGAACGUCGUGAGACAGUUCGGUCCCUAUCCGUCGUGGGCGUAGGAAAUUUGAGAGGAGCUGUCCUUAGUACGAGAGGACCGGGAUGGACAUACCUCUGGUGUACCAGUUGUCGUGCCAACGGCAUAGCUGGGUAGCUAUGUGUGGACGGGAUAAGUGCUGAAAGCAUCUAAGCAUGAAGCCCCCCUCAAGAUGAGAUUUCCCAACUUCGGUUAUAAGAUCCCUCAAAGAUGAUGAGGUUAAUAGGUUCGAGGUGGAAGCAUGGUGACAUGUGGAGCUGACGAAUACUAAUCGAUCGAAGACUUAAUCAA
This 1637-nucleotide ribosomal RNA is filed under the name Staphylococcus aureus. Its description in RNAcentral is "partial 23S ribosomal RNA". It matches the Rfam family "Bacterial large subunit ribosomal RNA", at positions 1289 to 2925 of the family's 2925-position model. The record is from RNAcentral. Lineage: Bacteria; Bacillati; Bacillota; Bacilli; Caryophanales; Staphylococcaceae.